AUACGUAGGGGGCGAGCGUUAUCCGGAAUUAUUGGGCGUAAAGGGUGCGUAGGCGGCCUUUUAAGUCAGAUGUGAAAGGCUACGGCUUAACCGUAGUUAGCAUUUGAAACUAAAAGGCUUGAGUGCAGGAGAGGAGAGUGGAAUUCCUAGUGUAGCGGUGAAAUGCGUAGAUAUUAGGAGGAACACCAGUGGCGAAGGCGACUCUCUGGACUGCAACUGACGCUGAGGCACGAAAGCGUGGGGAGCGAACAGGAUUAGAUACCCUGGUAGUCCACGCCGUAAACGAUGAGUGCUAGGUGUUGGUGGGGACACCCAUCAGUGCCGCAGCUAACGCAUUAAGCACCCCGCCUGGGGAGUACGUGCGCAAGCAUGAA
This 374-nucleotide ribosomal RNA is filed under the name uncultured bacterium. Its description in RNAcentral is "bacterial SSU rRNA". It matches the Rfam family "Bacterial small subunit ribosomal RNA", at positions 523 to 898 of the family's 1533-position model. The record is from RNAcentral.